GGCGAAAAAGAACAGCCAGCUCAGCAAGUAAGUGGUGGGUGGUCGCUCUCCAUCGUUGUCGUUCGGGGCAAAGAAGAAGAGAAUAGGAGUUCUUGGCUCCGGCGACCAGGAGGAGGAGACGAGAGGUAGGUGGAGUGUAGUGGUGGGUAGAGAGGAGAAGGAUAGAUAGGUCGCGUGGGGCGCGGGCGCUUGAGCGGCGGGGCACGAGGCCUAGGCCGGCUAGGGCGCGGCGAGUAGGAGCGCGCGGAGACGAGCGGAACUGGCACUCCUCCUCCGGUCGCCGCCGUGUGGGGGUCCGUAGACGUAGGGAGAAAGAGUAGGGCAUGUAGGUGCCUAUGAGUAGAGCAAGAUACGAACAUCCGGCUACACUUAGGUCAGCGACUGUGCGGCAACGUCUGGUGGUCUAGGCCUCACGGCGGCGACCUAGGACAAGCGUAGUGCGGUGCGGCAACGUCUGGUGGUCUAUGCCUCAAGGCGGCGACCUAGGACAAGCGCAGUGCGGGCGCAGUUGCGCCGACAGUCUUGUGAGAGAGGAAGAGCUCCUGAGGCCAAGAGAAGCAACGGAAGGGUAGUACUACCCAAUAAAGAAAAAACGGAGACUAAGAGCACUCUUGGGCUCCCUGAGCGGGCGCCUAGAAAGAAGUGAGGAGUAACAAGAGAGAGUACAUAAACGUCAUACAAACAACAAAAAACUCUUCAGACUAAUUAUAAUGCCUAUUAGACGUUAACAUAUAUUUGCUUACUCUUAGUCAAAUCUCCUCGCUACACACUG
Molecule: ribosomal RNA, 772 nt
Filed under: Triticum aestivum (bread wheat)
Lineage: Eukaryota; Viridiplantae; Streptophyta; Magnoliopsida; Poales; Poaceae
Description: partial small subunit ribosomal RNA
Source: RNAcentral